Molecule: non-coding RNA, 389 nt
Organism: Theobroma cacao (cacao)
Lineage: Eukaryota; Viridiplantae; Streptophyta; Magnoliopsida; Malvales; Malvaceae
Source: RefSeq, a predicted model, not a curated record
GGAAAAUCACUAGAUUUCAAGGAAUCAAGACAUCAAAGGUGGUGAAUCCUCCGGUAAGGGCAAAGAAGUUGUACCCAAAGACCGGGACUAGGAGUACUUCGACUCUCAAUAUUAUUGGUCACUACAGUGGCGGGUUCUACGGGCCAGCCUAUUAGAGGGGCACGAAAUUUGGUUAUAUUUUUACCUCGAUCGGAGAAGUGUGUAGGGUAUCUCCUGGGGUAAAGUUUAGAGUUCACUUCAUGCUGAACCACCACUUGAAAGUGAAUUCAGCCAACGCCAAGGAACGACCGUGCUUUUAAAUUAACAAUGUGUGUUGUGCAUAUAUGACUUUUUAACAACCUUGGUGGACUCGGCUAGAUGCCUCGACCAAGGUAUCCCCGAGAAUGAGU